UGCUGGAGGGGAGGGAGUGGGAGAGGAAUACCAUGCAGUGAGAGAAUGGCACACAGUAAGAGAGGGAAGCAAGUCAAGUGGAGGUCACACAGGAACCACAACUUUAAAGAAAAACUGUACAAAAAUAUCACUAGAUAAAGUAGAUAAAAAACACUCACCCAGAAGGUAAAGCAUAACAUUACAAAUAAAAUACCUACUACAAAAAGGAUGUGGCUUUAUGGGUUAUGUCUAAUACUGAGAAGUAAGCUCUGUGGUAAUAAGACUGAGGAACCCAGGGAAGAAAUGAAAACUGGAAGGUGUAUGGAGAAGUAAAGCUUUGUGUGUCAUUGAUAAAAAUGACAGCUGCCUAGAGAUAAGGAAAUACCACUGUUCAGGUAUUCAAAAGCUGAAAUAAUCCUGUAGAGGCAAAAAGGCAGAGUAUUUUCCAUAUAAAGGUGUGUAGGCAAAGCAAGCUUGAGACAAACCAUUCAAGAGAAGUGUAUUCCAGCACAAUACCUAACCUGCUGAGCCACAAAACUUGCUGGCAACAAUUCAUAAAACAAACAAUCUUGAAACUGAUCUGAUAGUAAAAAUAUCAAGAUAAUGACUUUAACUAUUGAAAGUCAAGCACAAUAAAACCACCAACAAUCCUGUAACCUCAACAUCACAGAUAUGCCUUCUAUAAAAAAAAAAAAAAAAAAAAAAAAAAAAAAAGGACAACUCAACUUUUUUAUUACCCACAGUUAACUAUAUUUUGUCUGGCUGGAACACAAAGGGUCAACUGAAGAACACCUGCACUCCUACAGAAACGAGUAUCACACAACAUGCGGCAACACAACGUACACUUACCUCGGAUGACUCUGGCCUUGUGUAGUCAGGAGUGCUCCGUUCCCGGCAGCAUGUUGUGCCGAACCGUGCCAUACACUAUUUGGUUCUCCUCGCUGGUGAUCCGUGAAGUAUUACUGAGGGAGGAAGACACUGCAGUCAGUCGGUACUUCAACACACCAUAUUCCCUUUAUAUGGAGACUUAUUAGUACUACACAGCAUUCAGCUAUCAAACCAACACAUAAUCACCUUGAAUGGUCCCUCUCUGAAUGGCUCCAGUUGGCUGUGUGGGGGCAUGGCAUCCUGGUGGGCUGUCUCAGACUCUAUGCUACCCUGUCCCUGGGAGCCUCUGUGUCCUUUACCCUUGGUGCCCUUGUUCCGGCGCCGACCCUUGCGUCUCCUGCCUCGGGAUCCCUUGUUAGACUUGGUCUUCCUCACCGGCCACUCUGCUGCUGGAAGGAUAAGAAGUCACAAUGAAAGGAAUAUUUAUGUAUCACCAAUGAACAAAAUUUUUAUGUGA
Portunus trituberculatus (swimming crab) is the source of this 1324-nucleotide long non-coding RNA. RefSeq lists it as uncharacterized. The record is from RefSeq and is a predicted model, not a curated record. NCBI's taxonomy places the organism in Eukaryota, Metazoa, Arthropoda, Malacostraca, Decapoda, Portunidae. The transcript is spliced from 3 exons.